Molecule: transfer RNA, 65 nt
Filed under: Cionus olens
Lineage: Eukaryota; Metazoa; Arthropoda; Insecta; Coleoptera; Curculionidae
Description: tRNA-Arg
Source: RNAcentral
AAGUAUGAAGCAAUAAUUGCAUUUAGUUUCGACCUAAAAAUAUGGUAAAUAUAUACCCUUACUUU